RNAcentral lists this ribosomal RNA (406 nucleotides) under uncultured bacterium. RNAcentral describes it as "bacterial SSU rRNA". It matches the Rfam family "Bacterial small subunit ribosomal RNA", at positions 362 to 776 of the family's 1533-position model. The record is from RNAcentral.
UAUUGCACAAUGGGCGAAAGCCUGAUGCAGCAACGCCGCGUGAGGGAUGACGGCCUUCGGGUUGUAAACCUCUUUUAGUAGGGAAGAAGGGCUUCGGCUUGACGGUACCUGCAGAAAAAGCACCGGCUAACUACGUGCCAGCAGCCGCGGUAAUACGUAGGGUGCGAGCGUUGUCCGGAAUUAUUGGGCGUAAAGAGCUCGUAGGCGGUUUGUCACGUCUGCUGUGAAAUCCCGAGGCUCAACCUCGGGCCUGCAGUGGGUACGGGCAGACUGGAGUGCGGUAGGGGAGAUUGGAAUUCCUGGUGUAGCGGUGGAAUGCGCAGAUAUCAGGAGGAACACCGAUGGCGAAGGCAGAUCUCUGGGCCGUAACUGACGCUGAGGAGCGAAAGCGUGGGGAGCGAACAGG